AUUGAACGCUGGCGGCAGGCCUAACACAUGCAAGUCGAACGGUAACAGGAAGCAGCUUGCUGCUUUGCUGACGAGUGGCGGACGGGUGAGUAAUAUCUGGGAAACUGCCCGAUGGAGGGGGAUAACUACUGGAAACGGUAGCUAAUACCGCAUAACGUCGCAAGACCAAAGAGGGGGACCUUAGGGCCUCUUGCCAUCGGAUGUGCCCAGAUGGGAUUAGCUAGUAGGUGGGGUAACGGCUCACCUAGGCGACGAUCCCUAGCUGGUCUGAGAGGAUGACCAGCCACACUGGAACUGAGACACGGUCCAGACUCCUACGGGAGGCAGCAGUGGGGAAUAUUGCACAAUGGGCGCAAGCCUGAUGCAGCCAUGCCGCGUGUAUGAAGAAGGCCUUCGGGUUGUAAAGUACUUUCAGCGGGGAGGAAGGGAGUAAAGUUAAUACCUUUGCUCAUUGACGUUACCCGCAGAAGAAGCACCGGCUAACUCCGUG
RNAcentral lists this ribosomal RNA (490 nucleotides) under uncultured bacterium. Its description in RNAcentral is "partial 16S ribosomal RNA". It matches the Rfam family "Bacterial small subunit ribosomal RNA", at positions 30 to 507 of the family's 1533-position model. The record is from RNAcentral.